UGCCUGUAAUCAACUUUGAACCUGGGGCUAUGUUGAAGGGUGUUGCUGCGUUGGGUUGUAUCCCUUAGGAGGAAUUUUUGCUGCCAUUGCACGUAAAGCAUUAGCAAUUUCAGUGAAGUUCGGUCUCUCUGAUGGCUCUGCUGACCAGCAUCUCUCCAUUAAUGACUUCCAUUCUGGGUCAGAAGAUUCAGGCACUGGUGGCCGCAAUGUAUUGCUCACAAUACCCCCUAUUAUAGCCCCAUAGUGCAAAUCUGC
Molecule: unclassified non-coding RNA, 255 nt
Filed under: Hevea brasiliensis (rubber tree)
Lineage: Eukaryota; Viridiplantae; Streptophyta; Magnoliopsida; Malpighiales; Euphorbiaceae
Source: RNAcentral